UGCUUUAUAGCUCAGUCGGCAGAGCAUGAGACUCUUAAUCUCAGGGUCACGGGUUCGAGUUCCGUGUUGGGCAA
This 74-nucleotide transfer RNA is filed under the name Podarcis lilfordi (Lilford's wall lizard). Its description in RNAcentral is "tRNA.Lys". It matches the Rfam family "tRNA". From Rfam's summary of the family: Transfer RNA (tRNA) molecules are approximately 80 nucleotides in length. Their secondary structure includes four short double-helical elements and three loops (D, anti-codon, and T loops). The record is from RNAcentral. Lineage: Eukaryota; Metazoa; Chordata; Lepidosauria; Squamata; Lacertidae.